GGCAGCCACAAUUAUUCCACAACACUGCAACUGACAGCAUUUACCUGGCAUGAAAAGAAACAAAGGUAACCAUUUGGAAAAAAAAAAAAAAAAAGAUCUCUGAUAUCUGUACAUUUAUUGUUUUCAUGUAUAUAAUCUGAGCUUUUGAUUCCUCUGGUACAAAAAGUGCUUUGAGAAAGAAUCUAUUCCCCUCAGUUCACAAGAUUAAAAAAUAUCAAAGGUGGACAAGUCUCAAGGUACGAGUACAUAUGUAAACUCAGAAAGGCCUCAUUUUUAAAUCGAAGGAGUCUGAGCUUGGAAGCUUCACUGCUGUGAACUCAAGCACUAGUAGAAAACCAAUAAGAUGUAUACAGAGGUGGUUACUACAUAAUGUCCUAUGCUAGACUUCACAGGACAAGUAUUUGCACAUAAGAGAAAUGAAAACAAUUUAGGACCAAUGGCAUCUUGAAAUAAUUUGACUGACAACCUUCCAGAAUCCAUUCUACCUGUAAAAGCUAAGCCCAAAAGAAAUACCCCUUUGGGCACUUUUAACCAGUUUAAACAGUUAAACAGCAAUCUAACAAUCCUGAGUAAAAUUGGCCACGCUAAGUGCCCCACGAAUCCAAAGCUACUUUAAACGGAGUCAUCAGUCACUCUGUUAGCAGAUGUUGCAAGAGUGUAACACCACAACUACAAAAGAUUCUCAAUGCUUCUUCCCAAAUUUGGAUCCACUAGUCGCUAGAUCACAAAUCUGGCAAAGACCUAUAGUUAGCUUAUUAGAAGCGCUGCCUCCAAUUCUGGGAAAGUGGUUCCUAACCUUUGGCACAUGUACCAGUAUUAUUACUUCGGGGAUGUGUAGUCAGUACCAGAGGCUGCUGCACCCCUUACUCUCUACUGAGCCCCCAGCCGGUGCUCUCAUUGCUUGAGAGGUUAGUGGCACUUGCUAGUACAAAUGAGGUCUUAGUUUGGAAAACUGGUACACUGCCACAGAAGGCUGGGAACCAUCGUUUUAGAGAGAUAUAUGAAUAUGAGGCCAACUCAUCUGCAAAAACAGAACCGUCAGCCUUUGCCCAUGUCCCUUGCUGGGCUUGAUAUGGACAGUUCCUGUGAAGAUGAGGGGGAUCAGGUAUGUCACUCAAGGUUUCCCCAAAAGCACAUAAAACUUGAGAAACUUUUCUUUAAAGGAGAGCAGGUACAAAAAUAAAAGAAAUCCAUAUACUCUGAAAAUACACUGGAAACUGCCACCACAGAUGAGGUACCAUUUGCUCCCUCCCCACCCCCCGCCCCCAACUGCAAACAUCAAAAUAUAUAUGUCUUUAAACAAAGGAAGAAUAUCUGGCUAUUUAAUCUCAGUUAAAAUGACAGCACCCUUUUGUUACACUUUAUACUUCACACCAUUAAUUCUCUUCUGAAAAAUGUGAUACCACAUCUAACUAAGCCUUGAUUCCUGCUCAUCUCCUCAUUUCCCUAGUGCAGUAAUUGUCCGCCUCCGUUUAAAUAAAUAUAGCAGCUACAGUAUCAUACGUGUGUGGCCCUCACAAAGCCAGUAACUUGAUAUUGUAAUACAAACAUGUAUCGGCACUUUAUGUAGACAUCUGCAAAA
Gavialis gangeticus (Gharial) is the source of this 1582-nucleotide long non-coding RNA. RefSeq lists it as uncharacterized. The record is from RefSeq and is a predicted model, not a curated record. NCBI's taxonomy places the organism in Eukaryota, Metazoa, Chordata, Crocodylia, Gavialidae. The transcript is spliced from 2 exons.